This 949-nucleotide ribosomal RNA is filed under the name uncultured Clostridium sp. Its description in RNAcentral is "bacterial SSU rRNA". It matches the Rfam family "Bacterial small subunit ribosomal RNA", at positions 14 to 983 of the family's 1533-position model. Lineage: Bacteria; Bacillati; Bacillota; Clostridia; Eubacteriales; Clostridiaceae. The record is from RNAcentral.
UGGNACNGGNCUAGGAUGACGCUGGCGGCGUGCCUAACACAUGCAAGUCGAGCGAUCUUCUUCGGAAGAGAGCGGCGGACGGGUGAGUAACGCGUGGGUAACCUGCCCUGUACACACGGAUAACAUACCGAAAGGUAUGCUAAUACGGGAUAACAUACUUUUAUCGCAUGGUAGAAGUAUCAAAGCUCCGGCGGUACAGGAUGGACCCGCGUCUGAUUAGCUAGUUGGUAAGGUAACGGCUUACCAAGGCGACGAUCAGUAGCCGACCUGAGAGGGUGAUCGGCCACAUUGGAACUGAGACACGGUCCAAACUCCUACGGGAGGCAGCAGUGGGGAAUAUUGCACAAUGGGCGAAAGCCUGAUGCAGCAACGCCGCGUGAGCGAUGAAGGCCUUCGGGUCGUAAAGCUCUGUUCUCAAGGAAGAUAAUGACGGUACUUGAGGAGGAAGCCCCGGCUAACUACGUGCCAGCAGCCGCGGUAAUACGUAGGGGGCUAGCGUUAUCUGGAAUUACUGGGCGUAAAGGGUGCGUAAGUGGUUUCUUUUAGUCAGAAGUGAAAGCUACGGCUCAACCGUAGUAAGCUUUUUGAAACUAAGAGACAUGUAGUGCAGGAGAGAGAGAGUAGAAUUUCCUAGUGUAGCGGUGAAAUGCGUAGAUAAUUAUGAGGGAAUAUCACUUGCGAAGGCGGCUCUCUGGACUGUAACUUGACACUGAAGGCACGAAAGCGUGGGGAGCAAACACGAUUAGAUACCCUGGUAGUCCACGCCGUAAAACGAUGAGUACUAGCUGUCGGGGGGUGACCCCCCCUCCGCUGGCGCAGCUACAGCAUUAAGUACUCCGCCUGGGAAUACGCCUCGUCAGAGUGAAAAUCCCAAGAAUUGACCGGGAGCCGCACAAGUAGCCGAGCAUGUUGUUUAAUUCUUAAGCAACCGNGACCUUACCUAAGCUUG